RNAcentral lists this long non-coding RNA (497 nucleotides) under Strongylocentrotus purpuratus (purple sea urchin). RNAcentral describes it as "uncharacterized LOC115927448, transcript variant X3". Lineage: Eukaryota; Metazoa; Echinodermata; Echinoidea; Camarodonta; Strongylocentrotidae. The record is from RNAcentral.
UUUGAAUUAUGCUAGAUCUAUUUUAUUUUGUUAAGGAGAAAGGGAUGCCUUGAUUGUCGUAUUGAUUUUCUUCUUCUUUUUGUUCCAAAAGAUUGAAACUGAAGAGCUGGAAGGAGGACAUUACAACAUCUCUUAUAUUUGCAAGAUGAAGCAGAAAGUCCCAUGCAUGUACAGUUAUCAGGAUGAUGCCUCUCUACAGUGGAUGAUGAAGGCAUUCUGGUUUGCAAACUCAGGAGAGGAACAAAGAACAGAUGUUGACGGGAUCAUAUCUAGAGAUGCGGGCCUACUACACUUCAUACGAGCAAGUGUGCUAAUAUACAUGAAGACUUGGGUUAUAUUUUUUUCUGAAAACUAGGCUACAACUUUAGUGAUGGAUGCAGAAGAUAUCUACACGAGACUACGUCUUAAAGAUGCCACCCUCAUAUAAUGAAAGAGGACAAUAGAGAUGGGUUUAAACUGGAAUAUUUACAUGAUAUUUAUUUGUUAUUUGUAUUAUA